UACGUAGGGUGCAAGCGUUACUCGGAAUUACUGGGCGUAAAGCGUGCGCAGGCGGUUUUGUAAGUCUGUCGUGAAAGCCCCGGGCUCAACCUGGGAAUUGCGAUGGAGACUGCAAGGCUUGAAUCUGGCAGAGGGGGGUAGAAUUCCACGUGUAGCAGUGAAAUGCGUAGAGAUGUGGAGGAACACCGAUGGCGAAGGCAGCCCCCUGGGUCAAGAUUGACGCUCAUGCACGAAAGCGUGGGGAGCAAACAGG
RNAcentral lists this ribosomal RNA (253 nucleotides) under uncultured bacterium. RNAcentral's name for it is "partial 16S ribosomal RNA". It matches the Rfam family "Bacterial small subunit ribosomal RNA", at positions 524 to 776 of the family's 1533-position model. The record is from RNAcentral.